CGCCCCUUGCUAGGGGCAAAGAGACACCUUGCUGGUGGCAUUGUCCUUGUAUCAGUCAAGGGCAGAGCAGGUGGCAGCCCUUUGUUCAUCCUAACUCGAUGCCUGGCUUGGUGGCUAAAGCUGGUUUACACCUAGGAGUCAUAG
Small nucleolar RNA from Meriones unguiculatus (Mongolian gerbil), 144 nucleotides. RefSeq annotates it as small nucleolar RNA SNORA48. The record is from RefSeq and is a predicted model, not a curated record. Lineage: Eukaryota; Metazoa; Chordata; Mammalia; Rodentia; Muridae. The transcript has a single exon.